RNAcentral lists this ribosomal RNA (504 nucleotides) under uncultured bacterium. RNAcentral's name for it is "partial 16S ribosomal RNA". It matches the Rfam family "Bacterial small subunit ribosomal RNA", at positions 29 to 523 of the family's 1533-position model. The record is from RNAcentral.
AUUGAACGCUGGCGGCAGGCCUAACACAUGCAAGUCGAACGGUAGCACAGAGAGCUUGCUCUCGGGUGACGAGUGGCGGACGGGUGAGUAACGUCUGGGAAACUGCCCGAUGGAGGGGGAUAACUACUGGAAACGGUAGCUAAUACCGCAUAACGUCGCAAGACCAAAGUGGGGGACCAUCGGGCCUCACACCAUCGGAUGUGCCCAGAUGGGAUUAGCUAGUAGGUGGGGUAAUGGCUCACCUAGGCGACGAUCCCUAGCUGGUCUGAGAGGAUGACCAGCCACACUGGAACGGAGACACGGUCCAGACUCCUACGGGAGGCAGCAGUGGGGAAUAUUGCACAAUGGGCGCAAGCCUGAUGCAGCCAUGCCGCGUGUAUGAAGAAGGCCUUCGGGUUGUAAAGUACUUUCAGCGGGGAGGAAGGCGGUGAAGUUAAUAGCUUCACCGAUUGACGUUACCCGCAGAAGAAGCACCGGCUAACUCCGUGCCAGCCGCCGCGGUAA